UACGGAGGGUGCAAGCGUUAUCCGGAUUCACUGGGUUUAAAGGGUGCGUAGGUGGCUUUGUAAGUCAGUGGUGAAAUCUCGGAGCUUAACUCCGCAACUGCCAUUGAUACUGCUUAGCUUGAAUCAAGUAGAGGUGGAUGGAAUAUUACAUGUAGCGGUGAAAGUCUUAGAUAUGUAAUAGAACACCGAUUGCGAAGGCAGUUCACUAUGCUUGUAUUGACACUGAGGCACGAAAGCGUGGGGAUCAAACAGG
This 253-nucleotide ribosomal RNA is filed under the name uncultured bacterium. RNAcentral describes it as "partial 16S ribosomal RNA". It matches the Rfam family "Bacterial small subunit ribosomal RNA", at positions 524 to 776 of the family's 1533-position model. The record is from RNAcentral.